GCCCAAGAGAUCGGGAUAACACCUGGAAACAGAUGCUAAUACCGGAUAACAACAGAUGAUGCCUAUCAACUGUUUAAAAGAUGGUUCUGCUAUCACUCUUGGAUGGACCUGCGGUGCAUUAGCUAGUUGGUAGGGUAACGGCCUACCAAGGCGAUGAUGCAUAGCCGAGUUGAGAGACUGAUCGGCCACAUUGGGACUGAGACACGGCCCAAACUCCUACGGGAGGCAGCAGCCC
This 235-nucleotide ribosomal RNA is filed under the name uncultured Lactobacillus sp. RNAcentral's name for it is "partial 16S ribosomal RNA". It matches the Rfam family "Bacterial small subunit ribosomal RNA", at positions 128 to 355 of the family's 1533-position model. The record is from RNAcentral. Lineage: Bacteria; Bacillati; Bacillota; Bacilli; Lactobacillales; Lactobacillaceae.